CAACCCUCACGCCUAGCGUGGUAUUGGGCUCGCCUAUUAGGCCUGCCUCAAAGUCAGUGGCGGCAACAUCAGACCCCUAAGCGUAGUAAUACUCGCAGCUUCUGGGAGACGGUGGUGGCCUGCCAGCAACCCCCAAUUUAUUAA
This 144-nucleotide unclassified non-coding RNA is filed under the name uncultured Lophodermium. RNAcentral describes it as "sequence contains ITS2". The record is from RNAcentral. Lineage: Eukaryota; Fungi; Ascomycota; Leotiomycetes; Rhytismatales; Rhytismataceae.